RNAcentral lists this ribosomal RNA (497 nucleotides) under uncultured bacterium. RNAcentral describes it as "partial 16S ribosomal RNA". It matches the Rfam family "Bacterial small subunit ribosomal RNA", at positions 28 to 507 of the family's 1533-position model. The record is from RNAcentral.
GAUGAACGCUGGCGGCGUGCCUAAUACAUGCAAGUCGAGCGAACGGACGAGAAGCUUGCUUCUCUGAUGUUAGCGGCGGACGGGUGAGUAACACGUGGAUAACCUACCUAUAAGACUGGGAUAACUUCGGGAAACCGGAGCUAAUACCGGAUAAUAUUUUGAACCGCAGGGUUCAAAAGUGAAAGACGGUCUUGCUGUCACUAAUAGAUGGAUCCGCGCUGCAUUAGCUAGUUGGUAAGGUAACGGCUUUCCAAGGCAACGAUGCAUAGCCGACCUGAGAGGGUGAUCGGCCACACUGGAACUGGGACGCGGUCCAGACUCCUACGGGAGGCCGCAGUCGGGAAUCUUCCGCAAUUGGCGAAAGCCUGACGGAACAACGCCGCGUGAGUGAUGAAGGUCUUCGGAUCGUAAAACUCUGUUAUUAGGGAAGAACAUAUGUGUAAGUAACUGUGCACAUCUUGACGGUACCUAAUCAGAAAGCCACGGCUAACUACGUG